GAGCAUACAUAAAUGACUUUUAAGAACCAAUGAGGUUUGACUGUGUGAGCAGUGUUAUUUCUUAUGUGCUAUACUAAUAGUUGAAGGUUCAUUAGCAGAGUAACUGCAUAUAGUAAUUCUGCCAGUCCCCUUCAGACAAAA
Small nucleolar RNA from Rattus norvegicus (Norway rat), 141 nucleotides. The record is from Ensembl. NCBI's taxonomy places the organism in Eukaryota, Metazoa, Chordata, Mammalia, Rodentia, Muridae.